AGUGGGGAAUAUUGGACAAUGGGCGAAAGCCUGAUCCAGCCAUGCCGCGUGUGUGAAGAAGGCUUUCGGGUUGUAAAGCACUUUCAGUGGGGAAGAAAUCCUCGGGGCCAAUACCCUCGAGGGAGGACAUCACCCACAGAAGAAGCACCGGCUAACUCCGUGCCAGCAGCCGCGGUAAUACGGAGGGUGCGAGCGUUAAUCGGAAUUACUGGGCGUAAAGCGCGCGUAGGCGGCGUGAUAAGCCGGUUGUGAAAGCCCCGGGCUCAACCUGGGAACGGCAUCCGGAACUGUCAGGCUAGAGUGCAGGAGAGGAAGGUAGAAUUCCCGGUGUAGCGGUGAAAUGCGUAGAGAUCGGGAGGAAUACCAGUGGCGAAGGCGGCCUUCUGGACUGACACUGACGCUGAGGUGCGAAAGCGUGGGUAGCAAACAGGAUUAGAUACCCUGGUAGUCCACGCCGUAAACGAUGUCGACUAGCCGUUGGGGUCCUUGUGACCUUUGUGGCGCAGUUAACGCGAUAAGUCGACCGCCUGGGGAGUACGGCCGCAAGGUUA
RNAcentral lists this ribosomal RNA (551 nucleotides) under uncultured bacterium. Its description in RNAcentral is "bacterial SSU rRNA". It matches the Rfam family "Bacterial small subunit ribosomal RNA", at positions 353 to 896 of the family's 1533-position model. The record is from RNAcentral.